UCUCGGGCCCCCUCGAUGCUCGAGUGUCCGCGGGGCCCGAAG
This 42-nucleotide unclassified non-coding RNA is filed under the name Canis lupus familiaris (dog). Its description in RNAcentral is "RNA Expansion segment ES6 part I from Canis lupus familiaris (PDB 4V5Z, chain AD)". The record is from RNAcentral. Lineage: Eukaryota; Metazoa; Chordata; Mammalia; Carnivora; Canidae.